ACACUCAGACUCUAAAAUCCCCGCCUUCUCCCCAGGUUUAUGUCCAGCAACAGUGGAAAAUCACGGGCAGCUUUGACCUCUGCACAGACUCUGCCAGAAGUCAUGGAACUGAACUGGGGUCCUAGUGGAAUCAGAAUUUGAAUCUGUUUUGCUGGCCUCCAUGUUUACAUCUGUACCACAUGCCUCCACGUCCUGAACUACAGAGGUAGCAGAAGGAAUCAGAAAGAGGGCACAGAAGUGAGGAUGCUCCUGAAGAACAGACUGGGCUGCACUGAGGUACUGGUCUUCCAAAGCCCAGGUGCGAAGCCCUUUGUUAGAUGAAUUCGUGACAUACUAUGGAGUAUGGAAAGAACAACAUCCUUGACGAGGAGGGAGUGUGGAAAUGUCAGUUGCCCCAAACAUCUAAAGAUUUCCUCUAUUACACUGCCAUGGAAAAACCCAGCUUCCCAUGACCCUCCCCCAGGAGCCUAAUACAAUUUCUGUAUCACUGGAGAGAGUGAACCCUUUGCCUUGGAAAGGACCGAGAAAAAGUGGGAGGGGAUUCAAUAAAUAAGAGAUAAGAAUCAGGGCAAGAGUUGUUCUUGAGGAGGCUUUCACGGUUUCAUGGAGACAGAUGGCAGCUAUCUAUAAAAUAUGCUUGCAAGUCCUACUUCCUUCUUCAUUUUGGUUUGUUGUGACAACUAGAUUUAAGUUUUAGGCAAAUAAAUACAUAGGAGCAUAUUUUCACUCCAAGUAUUGGAAUAACUAAAGCAACAGGAUGCCUCACAAAUUUCUCCAUUUACUUGGGCAAGAAAACUUUCUGCGAAGCAAGUUUUAGUGUUUUUCUGGGUUUUGUUGGGAAGGCAGGGGGAGACUGUUAAGAUCCAUUUCUUCAGUAGUAAGCACUCCUGGUAUAAUGUAAUUAAUCAGAGUUAGCCUGGAGCAGUCUCCCACUCAGGGGAAUUACCUUCUUCCAUUUGGUAUCCCACACCUGCCUUUUGCAUGGUGCACCUGGAGCCCACUCACCUAAUGCUUGUUCUUGGCUGAUCAAACCUCCAGCCCAUUGGGCUGUGAUGCUCACAUCAGGCCUGUCUCCCACCACAGUCUAUCGACCCCAAGAACCAGUCCCCUCAUGACAUCCCUGUCCUGAGUUCCGUUCCCUCAGUGUCCUCUAAGCUGAGGGAUGGGACUCCCAUUGGAAAUUCUAAUCCCUUUUGAAAAACAUAUUUUAUUUUCACAAAGGCCCCCAAUGCAAAAUCUGGGGUACAUGCUAGAGACCAUGUUUCAGGGGUGCCGGGUCUUUCAGGAUUCUAGUCAUGCCACCUCUGUAGAGACAAAUGAUUGCUGGUAAACGGUGGAGAGAACUGCACCCAAAUGAUCUCCUCAGAGCGAUCACCUCACUUUACCAGAUAUCAAGAGAGCAUCUUGCCAUAUGAUUCAGACAAGAAUCUCCAGGAAAAAUAAAUACUGUACAACAUGAAUUACUGAAAUGCAGUGAAGCAAGAACUGAGUUGCAAAGGCCUGAAAAGAAAUGAGGCUCAAGAUUAAGAGCGGGGGGGAGAAAGGACAAGUGAUAAAGGAGACUACAUGGAAAUGCGUGCAGAAAUAGGCUUCCUGGAAGUAAACUCUGGACAAUGAAUGUCAGGUGAAAUUAAGAGCAAGAAGGACAUAAUAUGAGAUGCUUCCGAAUGGCUGCUCUAAGGUGUGAUGAGCAUAAUUUGACUUGAUUAGACUCUCUAGAGUCUCUGAUUUACAUGAUGCAAAGAUAGAUGCUCAUGUCGAUCUAUUUAAUGUUUACCUCUGAAAAGUCUUAUGCUUUCUUGUCUUAUUUUAAAUUCAGACUUGGUGGGUUCUUUCAUUUUUGUCAUGUCAGUUUGUUUCUUUAUGGUGCUGUGAGGUGUUAAAAACAGACACGAUGACCAUCUCCCAAGAAAUAAAAUCAAUCACCUUUAGGAUUGAAAGGUGAAGGGCAUUGGCUGAAUUAGUAAUUCUCCUGUUGAGCUUGAAGAAGUUUUAAAAAGAUUUGUUUUCUCUCUCUUGUGCCUUUUUCAUGAUUCUUCAUUUAAUUGAUUUGUGCAGACAUUAAAAUUUCCUAUUUCUAUACUCCUAAUGAUUGAGAUGACAAUGUUUCCCCGGUUUACAAAAUUUUAGUGGAUUGGAGGGGUACAUAAUGUAUGGGAAAAAUUAAUUUUGCAAAAGCCUUAUGUAAAGUUGAACAUCUCUGAUGGUCCAUUUCUUACAUGUGCUAAUUGGGCUUAUAUAUCAUGGUGGCCUUGGGGACUGCCAGUCUGAGACCAAUUGCCACUUAGUAGUUGUGUGACCUUAAGUUACUUGAUAUUUUGGGCAUCAGUACUUUAUCUGUAACAUGGAGAU
Molecule: long non-coding RNA, 2352 nt
Organism: Mirounga angustirostris (Northern elephant seal)
Lineage: Eukaryota; Metazoa; Chordata; Mammalia; Carnivora; Phocidae
Exons: 3
Source: RefSeq, a predicted model, not a curated record